AUUGAACGCUGGCGGCAUGCCUUACACAUGCAAGUCGAACGGCAGCACGGGUGCUUGCACCUGGUGGCGAGUGGCGAACGGGUGAGUAAUACAUCGGAACAUGUCCUGUAGUGGGGGAUAGCCCGGCGAAAGCCGGAUUAAUACCGCAUACGAUCUACGGAUGAAAGCGGGGGACCUUCGGGCCUCGCGCUAUAGGGUUGGCCGAUGGCUGAUUAGCUAGUUGGUGGGGUAAAGGCCUGCCAAGGCGACGAUCAGUAGCUGGUCUGAGAGGACGACCAGCCACACUGGGACUGAGACACGGCCCAGACUCCUACGGGAGGCAGCAGUGGGGAAUUUUGGACAAAGGGCGAAAGCCUGAUCCAGCAAUGCCGCGUGUGUGAAGAAGGCCUUCGGGUUGUAAAGCACUUUUGUCCGGAAAGAAAUCCUUGGCCCUAAUACGGUCGGGGGAUGACGGUACCGGAAGAAUAAGCACCGGCUAACUACGUG
Molecule: ribosomal RNA, 486 nt
Filed under: uncultured bacterium
Lineage: Bacteria
Description: partial 16S ribosomal RNA
Rfam family: Bacterial small subunit ribosomal RNA
Source: RNAcentral